RNAcentral lists this ribosomal RNA (303 nucleotides) under Triticum aestivum (bread wheat). RNAcentral describes it as "partial small subunit ribosomal RNA". The record is from RNAcentral. Lineage: Eukaryota; Viridiplantae; Streptophyta; Magnoliopsida; Poales; Poaceae.
ACCUUACAUGGAACCCUCAUGUGUCGUGUUACACUUGCUAAUAGACAUAUGAAAGUUUCGCCCACCUGCCCAUCAUGUUCGAACGGGCAUGAAGAUACUAAACACUUAUUAUUUUUAUGUCAAAAGGCAAAAGAGGUGUGGGAGAAACUGGGAUUGCACGAAGCCAUUAAAAAAGCCUGUGUGGUCGAUCGUGCAGGAGAGGCAGUACUUGAAUUUCUAAUUUUUAUGCCAGAACAUGAGCUAUCUACAGUGGGCAUACAGAAUGUUCGCAAACUGAUCGCUAUAACAACCUGGUAUUUAUGG